This 502-nucleotide ribosomal RNA is filed under the name uncultured Glomeromycotina. Its description in RNAcentral is "partial small subunit ribosomal RNA". It matches the Rfam family "Eukaryotic small subunit ribosomal RNA", at positions 591 to 1092 of the family's 1831-position model. Lineage: Eukaryota; Fungi; Glomeromycota. The record is from RNAcentral.
CCAAUAGCGUAUAUUAAAGUUGUUGCAGUUAAAAAGCUCGUAGUUGAACUUCGGAAUUUAUUCAUUGGUCAGGCUUAACUGUCUGUACUGGUGUGAUGAAUUCCUACCUUCUGAGGAAUCUUCAUGCCAUUCACUUGGUGUGGUGGGGAAUCAGGACUGUUACUUUGAAAAAAUUAGAGUGUUUAAAGCAGGCUAACGUCUGAAUACAUUAGCAUGGAAUAAUAAAAUAGGACGGCUUGGUUCUAUUUUGUUGGUUUCUAGGAUCACCGUAAUGAUUAAUAGGGAUAGUUGGGGGCAUUAGUAUUCAAUUGUCAGAGGUGAAAUUCUUGGAUUUAUUGAAGACUAACUACUGCGAAAGCAUUUGCCAAGGAUGUUUUCAUUAAUCAAGAACGAAAGUUAGGGGAUCGAAGACGAUCAGAUACCGUCGUAGUCUUAACCAUAAACUAUGCCGACUAGGGAUCGGACGAAGUUAAUUUUUAAAUGACUCGUUCGGCACCUUACG